RNAcentral lists this transfer RNA (61 nucleotides) under Imerinia grandidieri. RNAcentral's name for it is "tRNA-Asn". Lineage: Eukaryota; Metazoa; Mollusca; Gastropoda; Systellommatophora; Veronicellidae. The record is from RNAcentral.
UUCUUUUGCGUUUUGCAAGCUCUAACUGUUAAUUAAAGCGUGACUUAGCAGUCCAAAGCGG